UACGUAGGGGGCGAGCGUUGUCCGGAAUUAUUGGGCGUAAAGCGCGCGCAGGCGGUUCCUUAAGUCUGAUGUGAAAGCCCACGGCUCAACCGUGGAGGGUCAUUGGAAACUGGGGGACUUGAGUGCAGGAGAGGAGAGCGGAAUUCCACGUGUAGCGGUGAAAUGCGUAGAGAUGUGGAGGAACACCAGUGGCGAAGGCGGCUCUCUGGCCUGCAACUGACGCUGAGGCGCGAAAGCGUGGGGAGCAAACAGG
RNAcentral lists this ribosomal RNA (253 nucleotides) under uncultured bacterium. RNAcentral describes it as "partial 16S ribosomal RNA". It matches the Rfam family "Bacterial small subunit ribosomal RNA", at positions 524 to 776 of the family's 1533-position model. The record is from RNAcentral.